AUUGAACGCUGGCGGCAGGCCUAACACAUGCAAGUCGGACGGUAGCACAGAGAGCUUGCUCUUGGGUGACGAGUGGCGGACGGGUGAGUAAUGUCUGGGGAUCUGCCCGAUAGGGGGGGAUAACCACUGGAAACGGUGGCUAAUACCGCAUAACGUCGCAAGACCAAAGAGGGGGACCUUCGGGCCUCUCACUAUCGGAUGAACCCAGAUGUGGAUUAGCUAGUAGGCGGGGUAAUGGCCCACCUAGGCGACGAUCCCUAGCUGGUCGGGGAGGAUGACCAGCCACACUGGAACUGAGACACGGUCCAGACUCCUACGGGAGGCAGCAGUGGGGAAUAUUGCACAAGGGGCGCAAGCCUGAUGCAGCCAUGCCGCGUGUAUGAAGAAGGCCUUCGGGUUGUAAAGUACUUUCAGCGGGGAGGAAGGCGGUGCGGUUAAUAACCGUACCGAUUGACGUUACCCGCAGAAGAAGCACCGGCUAACUCCGUGCCAGCCGCCGCCGUAA
Molecule: ribosomal RNA, 505 nt
Filed under: uncultured bacterium
Lineage: Bacteria
Description: partial 16S ribosomal RNA
Rfam family: Bacterial small subunit ribosomal RNA
Source: RNAcentral